Molecule: ribosomal RNA, 241 nt
Filed under: uncultured Actinomycetales bacterium
Lineage: Bacteria; Bacillati; Actinomycetota; Actinomycetes; Actinomycetales
Description: partial 16S ribosomal RNA
Rfam family: Bacterial small subunit ribosomal RNA
Source: RNAcentral
ACUCGAGUGGCGAACGGGUGAGUAACACGUGGGUGAUCUGCCCUGCACUUCGGGAUAAGCUUGGGAAACUGGGUCUAAUACCGGAUAGGAGCCAUCUUUAGUGUGGUGGUUGGAAAGUUUUUCGGUGUAGGAUGAGCUCGCGGCCUAUCAGCUUGUUGGUGGGGCAAUGGCCUACCAAGGCGGCGACGGGUAGCCGGCCUGAGAGGGUGUACGGCCACAUUGGGACUGAGAUACGGCCCAG